Molecule: ribosomal RNA, 253 nt
Filed under: uncultured bacterium
Lineage: Bacteria
Description: partial 16S ribosomal RNA
Rfam family: Bacterial small subunit ribosomal RNA
Source: RNAcentral
UACGGAGGAUGCAAGCGUUAUCCGGAAUGAUUGGGCGUAAAGCGUCCGCAGGUGGCUAUGUAAGUCUGCUGUUAAAGAGUCUAGCUCAACUAGAUACAAGCAGCGGAAACUACAAGGCUAGAGUACGUUCGGGGCAGAGGGAAUUCCUGGUGUAGCGGUGAAAUGCGUAGAGAUCAGGAAGAACACCGGUGGCGAAGGCGCUCUGCUAGGCCGUAACUGACACUGAGGGACGAAAGCUAGGGGAGCGAAUGGG